This 423-nucleotide ribosomal RNA is filed under the name uncultured bacterium. Its description in RNAcentral is "bacterial SSU rRNA". It matches the Rfam family "Bacterial small subunit ribosomal RNA", at positions 355 to 775 of the family's 1533-position model. The record is from RNAcentral.
UGAGGAAUAUUGGUCAAUGGGCGCAAGCCUGAACCAGCCAUCCCGCGUGAAGGAAGAAGGCGCUAUGCGUUGUAAACUUCUUUUCCAGGGGGAGAAUUUUUCCGUCGUGACGGGAAUUGACGGUACUCUGGGAAUAAGCAUCGGCUAACUCCGUGCCAGCAGCCGCGGUAAUACGGAGGAUGCGAGCGUUAUCCGGAUUUAUUGGGUUUAAAGGGUGCGUAGGCGGAUUGAUAAGUCAGUGGUGAAAGGCUGCAGCUUAACUGUAGAGGUGGAGUUGAUACUGGCAGUCUUGAGUAGAGUCAAGGCAGGCGGAAUGUGUAAUGUAGAGGUGAAAUGCUUAGACAUUACAAAGAACACCGAUUGCGAAGGCAGCUGGCUGGGCCAUCACUGACGCUCAUGGACGAAAGCGUGGGGAUCGAACAG